Molecule: unclassified non-coding RNA, 345 nt
Filed under: soil metagenome
Description: partial contains 5.8S ribosomal RNA, internal transcribed spacer 2, and large subunit ribosomal RNA
Rfam family: 5.8S ribosomal RNA (bases 1-120)
Source: RNAcentral
GAUGAAGAACGUAGCGAAAUGCGAUACGUAAUGUGAAUUGCAGAAUUCAGUGAAUCAUCGAGUCUUUGAACGCACAUUGCGCCCCCUGGUAUUCCGGGGGGCAUGCCUGUCCGAGCGUCAUUGCUGCCCUCAAGCACGGCUUGUGUGUUGGGCCUCCGUCCUCCUCCCGGGGGACGGGCCCGAAAGGCAGCGGCGGCACCGCGUCCGGUCCUCGAGCGUAUGGGGCUUCGUCACCCGCUCUUGUAGGCCCGGUCGGCGCUUGCCGACACAUCAAUCUUUUUUCCAGGUUGACCUCGGAUCAGGUAGGGAUACCCGCUGAACUAAAGCAUAUCAAUAAGCGGAGGA